This 717-nucleotide ribosomal RNA is filed under the name uncultured Enterobacteriaceae bacterium. Its description in RNAcentral is "bacterial SSU rRNA". It matches the Rfam family "Bacterial small subunit ribosomal RNA", at positions 786 to 1502 of the family's 1533-position model. The record is from RNAcentral. Lineage: Bacteria; Pseudomonadati; Pseudomonadota; Gammaproteobacteria; Enterobacterales; Enterobacteriaceae.
CCUGGUAGUCCACGCUGUAAACGAUGUCGAUUUGGAGUUUGGGGGCAUGACCCUUGGGCUCCGGAGCUAACGCGUUAAAUCGACCGCCUGGGGAGUACGGCCGCAAGGUUAAAACUCAAAUGAAUUGACGGGGGCCCGCACAAGCGGUGGAGCAUGUGGUUUAAUUCGAUGCAACGCGAAGAACCUUACCUGGUCUUGACAUCCAUAGAAUCUUUCAGAGAUGAGAGAGUGCCUUCGGGAGCUAUGAGACAGGUGCUGCAUGGCUGUCGUCAGCUCGUGUUGUGAAAUGUUGGGUUAAGUCCCGCAACGAGCGCAACCCCUAUCCUUUGUUGCCAGCACGUAAUGGUGGGAACUCAAAGGAGACUGCCGUUGAUAAAGCGGAGGAAGGUGGGGACGACGUCAAGUCAUCAUGGCCCUUACGACCAGGGCUACACACGUGCUACAAUGGCGUAUACAAAGGGAUGCGAAGGUGCGAACUGGAGCGGACCUCACAAAGUACGUCUAAGUCCGGAUUGGAGUCUGCAACUCGACUCCAUGAAGUCGGAAUCGCUAGUAAUCGUGAAUCAGAAUGUCACGGUGAAUACGUUCCCGGGCCUUGUACACACCGCCCGUCACACCAUGGGAGUGGGUUGCACCAGAAGUAGAUAGCUUAACCUUCGGGAGGGCGUUUACCACGGUGUGGUUCAUGACUGGGGUGAAGUCGUAACAAGGUAACCA